This 311-nucleotide ribosomal RNA is filed under the name Vibrio cholerae. RNAcentral's name for it is "partial 23S ribosomal RNA". It matches the Rfam family "Bacterial large subunit ribosomal RNA", at positions 412 to 725 of the family's 2925-position model. The record is from RNAcentral. Lineage: Bacteria; Pseudomonadati; Pseudomonadota; Gammaproteobacteria; Vibrionales; Vibrionaceae.
GUAGGCCGGGACACGAGGAAUCCCGGUUGAAGCAGCGAGGACCAUCUCGCAAGGCUAAAUACUAACCAGUGACCGAUAGUGAACCAGUACCGUGAGGGAAAGGUGAAAAGAACCCCGGAAGGGGAGUGAAAGAGAACCUGAAACCGUGUGCCUACAAGUAGUCAAAGCACAUUAAAGUGUAAUGGCGUGCCUUUUGUAGAAUGAACCGGCGAGUUACGUUAAGUAGCGAGGUUAAGACAGAAAAGUCGGAGCCGAAGCGAAAGCGAGUCUGAAUAGGGCGAGCAGUUACUUGACGUAGACCCGAAACCAAG